GAUCUCAGACAAAGAGUAAAUCAAGAUGAUCAACACACAAAGCGUAUAAUAUGUACCGAGAGGGAUCAAGUGAUCCCAUGGUAUGGUAAGCAUUGUCCAUUACGUGUUUGUGUACUAACCCAUGGUCUUUGUGAGACUCCUAUGUGGGGGUUAGGUGUGCUUCCAUUGGGCUUGCGUCAAAAGGAAGAUCUCAUACAACCCAUGAAGGAUGACGUCAAGUGGUGGUCGUCAUCAAGAUUGUGGUGUGCAAGUUCAAGUGGAUCAGCACGAAUAUAUCAUUGAAACUAUUAUCAAUGAUCAUGUGUUGAUAAGGACAACCUCAUGUGCUAACAAGGACAAGAUCAAGAUAAGCAUUCCUGAGCACUACAUGCUUGAUUCUUGUGGAUGUUCACAUGGUGGACAAAUGAAGAUGAAUACAUAAGCUAGGCUUUUCGCAUUGUGUAUGGGAGGGCUACUUGAAGACUUUAUCAUGUCUUGCUUUCAACUUGAGCCAAGAAGGAACAACAACAUCAAGCUCAAGUGAAAGGGCUAACUCAAAGGUAUCAGUUCCUUUGACGUUAGUGGUGCGGAGUGAUGAUCAACGAAUAAAAGUAUACACUCAAGUAUGGAUCAUCAGUACCCUUUUAUGAUUCUUGAGUCCUUAGGGAUCCCGCACUAUUAAGAGGGGAUCACAGGUUUUGCGAUGAACUUGCUCAAACUACAUCUCCACUGUUCUGCUCAGACCACAUCUCCACUGCUCUGCUGUUAUCUGAAAACAGAACCAGUGCCUCGGACAUCCGGCUUCCUCCGGACGUCCGAGGGCCGAACGACCGACAGCUUCGGAAAUCCGGAAUCCUAUACCACAGAAAUCAGAGCCAUAUAACUCGAACUUCCGGCUCCCUCCGGACGUCCGAGGCCCAGAUAUCUGACCAGCUUCGGAAUUCCGGAACUAUGCACCAGAGAAACUUGAGCCAUAUAACUCGGACAUCCGGCUCCUUCCGGACGUCCGAGGGCCGGUCAAGGUUCGGACGACCGACAGGCUUCGGAAAUCCAGAGCCCUGCACCAGAAGAACAUGAGCUCUACAACUCAGAUUUCAGGCUCCCUCCGGACGUCCGAGGGCCGGACGUCCGUCCCCUUUCGGAAAUCCGGAACCUCCCACCAGAAGAAGUUGAGUCGAAUAACUCGGAUUUCCGACCUUCUCCGGACAUCCGGUGCCUGUUCAACUCACUGUGUUUCCACACAUAUCUACAGCUCUCGGAUGACCGACCCCUUUCGGACGUCCGACCCCUCGCAGACGCCCGGACUUCCGGAAACUGUCGGACGUCCGGACCCUGUGUGACUUAAAGUGUCCCCGACGGCUGUUUUUCUCUCCCCACUAUAAAUACCCCCUCUCACUUCGUGAGAGGGCUGCCCAACACAGCCUUAUCCUCAUAAGAGCACACUUCUACCUCACACACAUUUUCUCACACCAAAUCUUAGAUCCCAAGAGCAUUUGUGAGCCCCUUUGAGAGUUGUUCCAAUCAAAAGAUAGAUCAUCUCCCUCUCCUCCUCNNNNNNNNNNNNNNNNNNNNNNNNNNNNNNNNNNNNNNNNNNNNNNNNNNNNNNNNNNNNNNNNNNNNNNNNNNNNNNNNNNNNNNNNNNNNNNNNNNNNNNNNNNNNNNNNUCCAAUCAAAAGAUAGAUCGUCUCCCUCUCCUUCUCUCAACCCAAGCUAUUUGAGAUUUGAGCAAGUUUUGAGCAUUCCCCGUGAUCUUGUUACUCUUGGAGGUUGGAGACUCCUAGGCGGUAGGAGUCCUUCGGAGAGGAAUCAAUUCGUGUGAUUACCCCCCAGAAAAGUUUGUGAGGGUUUGUAAGCCACCUCAAAGGAUUACCACUAGUGGUUGAGAAACGCCUUCGUGGUGUUAUCUCAAAGGGAGAAUAGGGUGAGCCUUCGUGGUGUUGGUGUGCCUUCGUNCGUGUCCUCUUGAUCAAAAUAUCUUGUUUCUCCCUAGUUGCUCUAUGACUAAUCAUUUAGGGGAAAUCAAGAAAUAUGAAGUACUUUUGACUAAUGAAGAAUCUGAUUCACCAAAAGAAUCAUCAUCAACUCCUCCAGUUCACAUGUGCCUCAUGGCAAGAGAUAAUAAUGAGGUAUCAUCUUCCCUGUGCAAUAACGAUGAUAUUUGCGAUGAGGAUGAGGAUGAUGAUUUGAUCGAAAAUAUCUAUGUGAUCAGUAAAAUUCUUCAUAAAGCUAAAAAUAACGCUCUUCAAAGAUUCCAAGAUGUUCUUGCUUACUUUGAAAAUUGUAAUGAUUCACUUAAUCAUGAACAAGCUAAAAGUGAACAACUUGAACAUGAACUUGAGAAGAGUCAUGAAGCAUGUAGAGACUUAAGAUCUUCAAAACGAGAGAUUGAAGUUGCUCAUGAUAAACUUAAAAAGGAUUUUGAGGUCCUUCUCCUUGAAUGCAAUAAUGUCAAGGGGGAGCUCAUCAAAACCUCUAAGAUCUAUGAGGAGCUUCAAUCUACUCAUGAGAAGUCUCUAUUUGCUACUUACUCCUCCCAUAUUGUUGAUGAUACUUGUACAUCUAACUCUACCUCAUUUGAAGUAUCAACAUUGAAGGAGAAUAUUGAGCUAUGUGCUCAACUUGAUUUACUAACUAGCAAUUAUGGGAAGUUGGAAGAAAACCAUGUAAUGCUCACAAGCUCUCAUGCCGAUCUUUUAACAUCCUAUAAUGUGCAAAAGUUAGCUCAUGAGGCUAUCAUCACCAAGGUAACAUCAAAUAAGCCUCAUGUGGACAAUGGCACUACUUCUAGACAAAGUACUAUAUUUCCAUGUGUUAGUCCUCGUAAUUCGUCUACUCAUAAUGUUGCUACCUCGUGUGAUGAAUUACUUUCCUUGCCUUGUUGCUCUAACAAUGAAACUUACACUUCCUCUAGUAUUUUCAUUUAAACUAACCAUGCAAAGGAAAUCGAAGAGCUCAAGUCCCAAGUCACUUCUUUGAAGAAAGACUUGGAACAGUGUCAUGAAGGGAUGUCCACACUCAACAACGUCCUGUGUGAGCAAACAUCUCCGAAUGACAAAAAUGAUGUUGGAGUAAACUCAAACAAGAACAAGAGGGGCCUAGAACAAGUCAAGAAUUCGGCCAAAAUCAUUUGCUUCAAGUGCAAAGUUAAAGGGCACCAUGUUAGAUCUUGCCCUCUGAAGACGAAGUCUCAAAGUCACAAGCAACAAGGGAAGCGGACACAAACUCAAUCACACACUCAGCUACAAGUUGAAGGAAGGCCUCUUCCCAAUAAGACCCAAGCCAACACUCCCCAAGGUGAGAAAUCAACUAGGAAGAAAACAAAGGGUAGAUGUUGCUACUUAUGUCAUGAGAAGGGUCACGUCACGUCGUCUUGCACGAGAGGUAACUUAUCCAACCCAAUCACUAUUGAUGAUAUCUAUUCCCUUGGGAAGGAUAAGGUUGGCAAUGUGUUUUCCAAGUUUGUUGGUACUCAAAAUGGUGUCAAGAAAAGAACCAUUUGGGUUGCCAAGCCUAUUGUGAUUAACCUCUUAGGACCCAACGUAGUUGGGGACCAACAAGCUCAAAUUUGAUCCAUAGGUGACUAUGGAGGACAUUAGAGACUUGGAUACAUAAUGAAGAAUUAAGGGGUCUUCAUCAUUCAUAUUAUCUCAAGCCAAGUCAUUUGGAUUAUCGAGUUUCUAUCUUAUAUCCAAUGUGCCUCCUUACGGUAACUUAUACUUAAACUAUUUACAAUGUUAAGUGCUCGCCCCUUUGCAUGUUGUCGUUUUGUACCUUGCAUGCGUUUGUAUAUGGCGUGCUUCCAACUUGCUUAUCUUGAGUAAUCGAGUAUGGGUAUGUUGGUUUGUAUAUCAUGUACAUGUGAGUCUUGUAUUGAGCCUUUUUGCAUCUUGUUUAUAAUUUUUGUUGGCUUUUGUGAGAGAUUAAUGGAUUAUCCCAUUGUGGGGGAGUGAUGUGCUUUGCACACCUCACAAUCCUAUAAAUGUGUAUACAUGGAGAAUACCACUUAGUUUUGAUAAUUCAAGAUUAUCUAGUUUCUAUGUGGUAUGUCUUACUCAUGAGAAAUUCAAAUUCUAUAUGGUCCAUUAAGUAUCUCUUGUUGGUUUUAAUUUGCCACUUGUUAAUGUUGUUGGUUUAUCACAUUAUGGGGGAGUAAUAUGCUAUGUGCAUAUUACAAACCUAUAAAAUGUGUACAUUUGACGUGUUGCCACUUAGUGUUGAUAUUGUAAAUUAUCUUGUUCCUAGGUGGCAUGUUAGCUCUACAAGUGUCAUUUGCUUGCAUUUUAUGGGUAAAGAUGAUCUUGGAUAUAUUUGUGAUCUACCAAUGAGUAUCACUUCGAAAAUACUGCUUGUCCUUGACAAUUGGUAUUCCCAUCAUGUGAUAGGAAUUGCUAAUCAUCUUUACAUUGGAUUUUGUGUUUCGUUUGUCUUCCUUGCCUCUUAUUAAUCUCUUUUAACAUGUCUAGUGUUUUUAUAGAUAUAGAGAAAGUGAUGAUCCCAUCGUGUGCGUUUUGUAUUCAAAUGCAAAUUCUAUAUAAUGCACGUCCCUUGGGGGAGCUAUCCUAUUUUCUUUAGAACACUCUCUUUAUUCACCCAUCAUAAAAUCUUUUGAUCCCCAUCAAGUAUGUGUUGAUGGGAGGCAAGUCUUGCUCUUUAUGAUGCUUUGUGCCAUCAUAAAAAAUUGUCGAGGGCUUGGUUUGUUGGAACCUAGCUCUCUUUUGGAAACUAGAUACCUCGUGUUUGUUUUCCUUCAAUUGGUUUCUUGUUGCCUUCUAUUUGGCAUGUGUCAAUGGAUAUCUCAUUCCUUGAGGUAUCUUUUAAUUGAUAUCCUUCAAGUGAUAGUUCUUUUGUUUUAGGAUCUUAUUAUCACUUGAUACCUUGUCUUUUGAUGACUUAUCAACUUUGUGUUGAGUUGAUUCUUGAGAGUCUUGAGCAUGCGUAUCUAGCUACUAUAUACAACUUCUCUUGCUUGCUUUCCUUCUUUGACCCAAUAUAUAGGGGAAACUCCACCUUGUCAUAAAUUGGCUAAAGUGCGCAUGAAAUUCAAAUUCAUAUCUAUAUGCACAUAUGUAUGUGGAGUUUGUCCUAUGUAUUGCUGGUUUUCUAACUCUUUGGUCCCAAUGAGUUUGGGCACCAUUUUGUUUGUUUUGUUGUUCCAGGAACAACUGGAGAUGCAUUGGAUGCUCUGCUCACCUAUAAGGAAGAUGUUGAGACCAUGUGAUUAUUGGAGCCAAGUUAGGAUGAUCAAAGAACAACUAUCUACUACAUCAAUCCAAUGUUGUCUCGGUAACAAGUAUCCACUUCAUGCAUUCUUUUCUUGCAAAGGACCCAACCUGUCUUUUCUUUUCCAGGUUGCAUCAUGGCAUGAAUCUCUUGAUUUGUUCUCGUAGUACUUGUUUGCUUUCUCAAAGCAUCCGAACGAUGAUGUCUUACUACUAGUUGGGAUGUCUUUGAUGUUCGUAUGUUGGAAGUUCAUAUUGUACAAUAAGAAAAUAUUAGGCCAUGUGCUAUGCUUCCAAGCAAAAGAUAUCAUUGAUAUAUUUAUGACUUCCUUUUGGAUAUCUAGUUUGUUCCUUCUUGUAACCAUUUCGUGUGUACAUCCUUCUUUGUGGAUAUAUAUCAUCAUGAUUGUAUUCUACUUAGAAUAUUUUACAUAUGAGAGAAGUUACAUCUCUAAUUAAUAUCCUCUUUUCUUUCACGAUCAUCAUUGCAUUUCCUUUUUCAGCUUUUCGUGGCUUCGUAAAAAGUUUUAUUUUGAGUGCGUAUCUUACUUUCCUACAUCUUGAUGCACUCUUUGGCCGUGAAUAUUAUUUUUCCUCAUGCUUGUCUUGAUGAGGGUUUUGCCAUUUUCAAUUAGUAUCCCUCCUCUUGACAAGGUUCUUACUUCCUAUCUCCACAAUGGGUUGUCACAAGCGUUGGUUCUUAUUUUGUUUAUUAGUAAGCUUGUGAACCCAUUUUCCAGUAUGUGUGUGUGGGAAUGAUAUGUCUUGCACUUUGUAUCUCAUUUCAUCAAGACUAUGUUGAUAAGUAAUGCUCAUCCUUAUCUUAGUCUUCUCAAAUGCUUUGCCCUGACUUACACACAUUAUUUUGUUUGAGCCUAUUCUUAAGUUGCUUCUAUUACAUGUUGCUCAACCAUUUGUUUUGUCCAAUUGAUAUGCUCAUUGUCUCAUCUAUCUUCUUGCACUAGUUGUUUGUUUUAUAAAUUCUGGGGGAGCAACAAUCCUAUUUUGUGCACCUGUGUCAAAUACAAAAAUCUCAUAUUAGUGCAAAAAUCAUGGGGAGCUUCUCUAGUUUUUGAUAAAGCACUAUGUUGCCUUUAUCAUAAUAUCUUUUAUUCAUAUGGUUCGAAGGACCAUAUGAUUGUUUGUUCCAUCUGGAAUCUUUUGAUUGCUUUCCUCUAUCUUUGUAUGUCUUUGUGGCAUAUGAUCCUUUUAUUUGCAAUCUUUGGGUCCUCGAUAUAGUUUGUUUUCCUCCAACUACUUAUCAUUGUAUUUGUGUAUUUUUCUGCACUCAUUUGCUGAGAAGUACACACUUCUUGGAGGACCACCUACUAUAUUGUCUUUCUAAACUUUGUUUAGAGGGUUUUGCUUUUAUUGUGUAAGCAUUUACAUCUUGCACACAUGCAUUAUUACCUUGUAUGUGUGCGCUUGUUUAUGCUUAUUUCCUUAUAUAAACUCUCUUGAAGUGGUUGUCUUCAAUUACCAAAAUGGGGUAGAUUGUUAGAGCAUAUAUCUCCAUAUGUGGUUUUGGUAAUUGAUGACAAUUCCUAUGGACUAAUGGUUGCCUUAAGUUAUAUUUAUAGGAUUUGUCCAUAGGCACUUCUUGAAGUCCAUCUGUUAGGUUCAAGGAGUUUAUAUGAUGACCAAUAUGUUAUUCAAGGUAUUAUCCAAAGAAUGGUCAUAGAAACACUAGGUUGAUCAAGAUCUCAGACAAAGAGUAAAUCAAGAUGAUCAACACACAAAGCGUAUAAGAUGUACCGAGAGGGAUCAAGUGAUCGCAUGGUAUGGUAAGCAUUGUCCAUUACGUGUUUGUGUACUAACCCAUGGUCUUUGUGAGACUCCUAUGUGGGGGUUAGGUGUGCUUCCAUUGGGCUUGCGUCAAAAGGAAGAUCUCAUACAACCCAUGAAGGAUGACGUCAAGUGGUGGUCGUCAUCAAGAUUGUGGUGUGCAAG
RNAcentral lists this long non-coding RNA (7148 nucleotides) under Hordeum vulgare. RNAcentral describes it as "long non-coding RNA (HVUL_LNC018611)". The record is from RNAcentral. Lineage: Eukaryota; Viridiplantae; Streptophyta; Magnoliopsida; Poales; Poaceae.